CUGUGUAUGCCAAUUGAGGACAAAUGAAGUGGACAUGACAGUCUAUGGCCCCUGCAGUUACGAUCAGUCCUUCUCCGGCUAUAACCUCGGUGUUGACCUGAAUUAAAGAAAUAAAAGAAUGACUACACACCACAAACAUGAUUGUGAAUCAUAUCUACUCGAGUACUCAAGAAAAGAAGUUUACCCCAACAAUCAUAUCAAAUGAAACACCAUCCAUUACAUCUGGAUUUCCUGCUUUCCCAGUGCAAACAAUCAAUCCCCCUUUGAUACCAAUAUCUGCCUUGUAUAUGCCUGUAUAAUCAAUUAUCACAGCAUUUGUUAUGACAGUAUCCAGGCAUUCAGCUGAGGAAUAGCCACAAGCCUGCCCCAUUCCUUCCCUUAG
Molecule: small RNA, 382 nt
Filed under: Macleaya cordata
Lineage: Eukaryota; Viridiplantae; Streptophyta; Magnoliopsida; Ranunculales; Papaveraceae
Description: 5' ureB small RNA
Rfam family: 5' ureB small RNA
Source: Rfam by way of RNAcentral